CUGGAGGUAUCAGAAGUGCGAAUGCUGACAUAAGUAACGAUAAAGCGGGUGAAAAGCCCGCUCGCCGGAAGACCAAGGGUUCCUGUCCAACGUUAAUCGGGGCAGGGUGAGUCGACCCCUAAGGCGAGGCCGAAAGGCGUAGUCGAUGGGAAACGGGUUAAUAUUCCCGUACUUGGUGUUACUGCGAAGGGGGGACGGAGAAGGCUAUGUUGGCCGGGCGACGGUUGUCCCGGUUUAAGCGUGUAGGUGUGUGUUCCAGGUAAAUCCGGUUCACUUUAACACUGAGGCGUGAUGACGAGGCACUACGGUGCUGAAGCAACAAAUGCCCUGCUUCCAGGAAAAGCCUCUAAGCAUCAGGUAACAUCAAAUCGUACCCCAAACCGACACAGGUGGUCAGGUAGAGAAUACCAAGGCGCUUGAGAGAACUCGGGUGAAGGAACUAGGCAAAAUGGUGCCGUAACUUCGGGAGAAGGCACGCUGACACGUAGGUGAAGUGAUUUACUCAUGGAGCUGAAGUCAGUCGAAGAUACCAGCUGGCUGCAACUGUUUAUUAAAAACACAGCACUGUGCAAACACGAAAGUGGACGUAUACGGUGUGACGCCUGCCCGGUGCCGGAAGGUUAAUUGAUGGGGUCAGCGCAAGCGAAGCUCCUGAUCGAAGCCCCGGUAAACGGCGGCCGUAACUAUAACGGUCCUAAGGUAGCGAAAUUCCUUGUCGGGUAAGUUCCGACCUGCACGAAUGGCGUAAUGAUGGCCAGGCUGUCUCCACCCGAGACUCAGUGAAAUUGAACUCGCUGUGAAGAUGCAGUGUACCCGCGGCAAGACGGAAAGACCCCGUGAACCUUUACUAUAGCUUGACACUGAACAUUGAGCCUUGAUGUGUAGGAUAGGUGGGAGGCUUUGAAGUGUGGACGCCAGUCUGCAUGGAGCCGGCCUUGAAAUACCACCCUUUAAUGUUUGAUGUUCUAACGUGGACCCGUGAUCCGGGUUGCGGACAGUGUCUGGUGGGUAGUUUGACUGGGGCGGUCUCCUCCUAAAGAGUAACGGAGGAGCACGAAGGUUGGCUAAUCCUGGUCGGACAUCAGGAGGUUAGUGCAAUGGCAUAAGCCAGCUUGACUGCGAGCGUGACGGCGCGAGCAGGUGCGAAAGCAGGUCAUAGUGAUCCGGUGGUUCUGAAUGGAAGGGCCAUCGCUCAACGGAUAAAAGGUACUCCGGGGAUAACAGGCUGAUACCGCCCAAGAGUUCAUAUCGACGGCGGUGUUUGGCACCUCGAUGUCGGCUCAUCACAUCCUGGGGCUGAAGUAGGUCCCAAGGGUAUGGCUGUUCGCCAUUUAAAGUGGUACGCGAGCUGGGUUUAGAACGUCGUGAGACAGUUCGGUCCCUAUCUGCCGUGGGCGCUGGAGAACUGAGGGGGGCUGCUCCUAGUACGAGAGGACCGGAGUGGACGCAUCACUGGUGUUCGGGUUGUCAUGCCAAUGGCACUGCCCGGUAGCUAAAUGCGGAAGAGAUAAGUGCUGAAAGCAUCUAAGCACGAAACUUGCCCCGAG
This 1547-nucleotide ribosomal RNA is filed under the name Salmonella enterica. RNAcentral describes it as "partial 23S ribosomal RNA". It matches the Rfam family "Bacterial large subunit ribosomal RNA", at positions 1273 to 2803 of the family's 2925-position model. The record is from RNAcentral. RNAcentral also lists the same sequence under 1 other name. Lineage: Bacteria; Pseudomonadati; Pseudomonadota; Gammaproteobacteria; Enterobacterales; Enterobacteriaceae.